This 200-nucleotide ribosomal RNA is filed under the name uncultured bacterium. Its description in RNAcentral is "partial 16S ribosomal RNA". It matches the Rfam family "Bacterial small subunit ribosomal RNA", at positions 8 to 210 of the family's 1533-position model. The record is from RNAcentral.
AGAGUUUGAUCCUGGCUCAGGACGAACGCUGGCGGCGUGCUUAACACAUGCAAGUCGAGCGGAAAGGCCCUUCGGGGUACUCGAGCGGCGAACGGGUGAGUAACACGUGAGGAACCUGCCCUUAACUCUGGGAUAGCUUCGGGAAACCGGAAUUAAUACCGGAUACGACUGCGACCGGCAUCGGUCAUGGUGGAAAGAUU